RNAcentral lists this non-coding RNA (46 nucleotides) under Schistosoma mansoni. Lineage: Eukaryota; Metazoa; Platyhelminthes; Trematoda; Strigeidida; Schistosomatidae. The record is from RNAcentral.
ACACGGCCGAGGAGUCCCAUAAUGGGGCGAAACGGCCGUCCAGUGU